RNAcentral lists this ribosomal RNA (790 nucleotides) under uncultured bacterium. RNAcentral's name for it is "bacterial SSU rRNA". It matches the Rfam family "Bacterial small subunit ribosomal RNA", at positions 8 to 795 of the family's 1533-position model. The record is from RNAcentral.
AGAGUUUGAUCCUGGCUCAGAUUGAACGCUGGCGGCAUGCUUUACACAUGCAAGUCGAACGGCAGCACGGGGUAACCUGGUGGCGAGUGGCGAACGGGUGAGUAAUAUAUCGGAACAUGUCUGGAAGUGGGGGAUAACGUAGCGAAAGUUACGCUAAUACCGCAUAUGCCCUGAGGGGGAAAGGGGGGGAUCGCAAGACCUCUCGCUUUCGGAGUGGCCGAUAUCAGAUUAGCUAGUUGGUGGGGUAAAGGCCUACCAAGGCAACGAUCUGUAGCUGGUCUGAGAGGACGACCAGCCACACUGGAACUGAGACACGGUCCAGACUCCUACGGGAGGCAGCAGUGGGGAAUUUUGGACAAUGGGCGCAAGCCUGAUCCAGCCAUGCCGCGUGAGUGAAGAAGGCCUUCGGGUUGUAAAGCUCUUUCAGCCGGAAAGAAAACGCACGGGUUAAUAACCUGUGUGGAUGACGGUACCGGAAGAAGAAGCACCGGCUAACUACGUGCCAGCAGCCGCGGUAAUACGUAGGGUGCGAGCGUUAAUCGGAAUUACUGGGCGUAAAGCGUGCGCAGGCGGAUUGUUAAGCAAGACGUGAAAUCCCCGGGCUUAACCUGGGAAUGGCGUUUUGAACUGGCAGUCUAGAGUGUGUCAGAGGGGGGUAGAAUUCCACGUGUAGCAGUGAAAUGCGUAGAGAUGUGGAGGAAUACCAAUGGCGAAGGCAGCCCCCUGGGAUAACACUGACGCUCAUGUACGAAAGCGUGGGUAGCAAACAGGAUUAGAUACCCUGGUAGUC